UUAGGGUUCGAUUCCGGAGAGGGAGCCUGAGAAACGGCUACCACAUCCAAGGAAGGCAGCAGGCGCGCAAAUUACCCAAUCCCGAUACGGGGAGGUAGUGACAAUAAAUAACAAUACAGGGCUCUUAUGGGUCUUGUAAUUGGAAUGAGUACAAUUUAAAUCCCUUAACGAGGAACAAUUGGAGGGCAAGUCUGGUGCCAGCAGCCGCGGUAAUUCCAGCUCCAAUAGCGUAUAUUAAAGUUGUUGCAGUUAAAAAGCUCGUAGUUGAAUUUCGGGGUUCUACCGUUGGUCGGGCAAUAGUCUGUACUGGCGUGUAGAAUUUCUACCUUCUGGGGAACCAUCAUGUUAUUUAUUUAGCGUGGUGGGAAACCAGGACCUUUACCUUGAAAAAAUUAGAGUGUUCAAAGCANGCUUACGUCUGAAUACAUUAGCAUGGAAUAAUAAAAUAGGACGGUGGUCCUGUUUUGUUGGUUUCUGAAUCACCGUAAUGAUUAAUAGGGAUAGUUGGGGGCAUUAGUAUUCAAUUGUCAGAGGUGAAAUUCUUGGAUUUAUUGAAGACUAACUUCUGCGAAGCAUUUGCCAAGGAUGUUUUCAUUAAUCAAGAACGAAAGUUAAGGGAUCGAAGACGAUCAGAUACCGUCGUAGUCUUAACCAUAAACUAUGCCGACUAGGAUCGACGAUGUUAAAUUUUUCUUGACUCGUUCGGCGCCUUACG
This 715-nucleotide ribosomal RNA is filed under the name Gigaspora margarita. Its description in RNAcentral is "SSU rRNA". It matches the Rfam family "Eukaryotic small subunit ribosomal RNA", at positions 370 to 1092 of the family's 1831-position model. The record is from RNAcentral. Lineage: Eukaryota; Fungi; Glomeromycota; Glomeromycetes; Diversisporales; Gigasporaceae.